RNAcentral lists this ribosomal RNA (781 nucleotides) under uncultured archaeon. RNAcentral describes it as "bacterial SSU rRNA". It matches the Rfam family "Archaeal small subunit ribosomal RNA", at positions 23 to 797 of the family's 1478-position model. The record is from RNAcentral.
GCUACUGCCAUCAGAGUUCGAUUAAGCCAUGUUAGUCGAGGGUGCUUCUUCUUCGGAAGAUGUAACCCGGCGGACGGCUCAGUAACACGUGGAUAACUUGCCCUUGGGUCCGGGAUAACCCCUGAGAAAUUGGGGACAAUACCGGAUAGGGCAUCGAUAGCUGGAAUGCGCGAUGUCCAAAAGCUGAGGCGCCCAAGGAUAGGUCUGCGGCCGAUUAGGUUGUUGUUGAUGUAAUGGAUCAACAAGCCUGCAAUCGGUACGGGUUGUGAGAGCAAGAGCCCGGAGAUGGGUUCUGAGAAAAGAACCCAGGUCCUACGGGACGCAUCAGGCGCGAAAACUUUACAAUGUGCGAAAGCACGACAAGGGAACUCUGAGUGCCUCCUAUGGAGGCUGUUCAGGUGUCUAAAAAGCACUUGAAGUAAGGGCUGGGUAAGACCGGUGCCAGCCGCCGCGGUAACACCGGCAGCCCAAGUGGUAGCCACGAUUAUUGGGUCUAAAGCGUCCGUAGCCGGCCAGGUAAGUUCUUUGGGAAAUUUAACCGCUCAACGGUUAAGCUUUCAGGGAAUACUGCUUGGCUUGGGACCGGGAGAGGUCAGAGGUACUUCAAGGGUAGGGGUGAAAUCCGUUAAUCCUUGAGGGACCACCAGUAGCGAAGGCGUCUGACCAGACCGGGUCCGACGGUGAGGGACGAAGGCUAGGGUCGCGAACCGGAUUAGAUACCCGGGUAGUCCUAGCUGUAAACGAUGCGGGCCAGGUGUUGGCAUUACUGCGAGUGAUGUCA